This 753-nucleotide ribosomal RNA is filed under the name Russula sp. RNAcentral's name for it is "partial large subunit ribosomal RNA". It matches the Rfam family "Eukaryotic large subunit ribosomal RNA", at positions 79 to 808 of the family's 3401-position model. Lineage: Eukaryota; Fungi; Basidiomycota; Agaricomycetes; Russulales; Russulaceae. The record is from RNAcentral.
CCUAGUAACUGCGAGUGAAGCGGGAAAAGCUCAAAUUUAAAAUCUGGUGGUCUUUGGCCAUCCGAGUUGUAAUUUAGAGAAGCGUCUUCCGCGCUGGACCGUGCACAAGUCUCCUGGAAUGGAGCGUCAUAGAGGGUGAGAAUCCCGUCUUUGGCAUGGACCCCAGGGCUUCUGUGAUGCGCUCUCAAAGAGUCGAGUUGUUUGGGAAUGCAGCUCAAAAUGGGUGGUGAACUCCAUCUAAAGCUAAAUAUUGGCGAGAGACCGAUAGCGAACAAGUACCGUGAGGGAAAGAUGAAAAGCACUUUGGAAAGAGAGUGAAACAGUACGUGAAAUUGUUGAAAGGGAAACGCUUGAAGUCAGUCGCGUCGACCGAGACUCAGCCUUGCCUUGGCUUGGUGUACUUCUCGGCUGACGGGUCAGCAUCAAUUUCGAUCCUUGGAUAAUGGCAAGGGAAAGGUAGCACCUUUACAGGUGUGUUAUAGUCCUCUGUCGCAUGCAAGGGUUGGGAUUGAGGAACUCAGCACGCGCCUUGUCGGUGUCGGGGCCUUUUGGCCUACGUACGUGCUUAGGAUGCUGGCAUAAUGGCUUUAAACGACCCGUCUUGAAACACGGACCAAGGAGUCUAACAUGCACGCGAGUGUUCGGGUGGAAAACCCGUGCGCGUAAUGAAAGUAAAAGUUGGGACCUCUGUCGUGGAGGGCACCGACGCCCGGACCAGACCUUCUGUGACGGCUCUGCGGUAGAGCGUGUAUG